UGGGGAAUUUUGCACAAUGGGGGAAACCCUGAUGCAGCGACGCCGCGUGAUUUAGAAGGCCUUCGGGUUGUAAAAAUCUUUUUUACGGGAUGAAAAUGACAGUACCGUAAGAAUAAGGUCCGGCUAAAUACGUGCCAGCAGCCGCGGUAAUACGUAUGGACCGAGCGUUGUCCGGAAUCAUUGGGCGUAAAGGGUACGUAGGCGGCCUAGUAAGUUAGAAGUUAAAGAAUAUAGCUCAACUAUAUAAAGCUUUUAAAACUGCUAGGCUUGAGAGAUGGAAGGGAAAGUGGAAUUCCUAGUGUAGCGGUGAAAUGCGCAGAUAUUAGGAAGAAUACCGGUGGCGAAGGCGACUUUAUGGUCAUCAUCUGACGCUGAGGUACGAAAGCGUGGGUAGCAAACAGG
Molecule: ribosomal RNA, 402 nt
Filed under: Bacteroidota bacterium
Lineage: Bacteria; Pseudomonadati; Bacteroidota
Description: Bacteroidetes bacterium partial 16S ribosomal RNA
Rfam family: Bacterial small subunit ribosomal RNA
Source: RNAcentral